Molecule: ribosomal RNA, 503 nt
Filed under: Halomonas sp. W024
Lineage: Bacteria; Pseudomonadati; Pseudomonadota; Gammaproteobacteria; Oceanospirillales; Halomonadaceae
Description: SSU rRNA
Rfam family: Bacterial small subunit ribosomal RNA
Source: RNAcentral
GACCUGGCGGCAGGCCUAACCAUGCAAGUCGAGCGCCCCACAGAUCCAGCUUGCUGGAUGCUGACGAGCGGCGGACGGGUGAGUAAUAGCAUAGGAAUCUGCCCGAUAGUGGGGGAUAACCUGGGGAAACCCAGGCUAAUACCGCAUACGUCCUACGGGAGAAAGGGGGCUCCGGCUCCCGCUAUGGGAUGAGCCUAUGUCGGAUUAGCUAGUUGGUGAGGUAACGGCUCACCAAGGCCACGAUCCGUAGCUGGUCUGAGAGGAUGAUCAGCCACAUCGGGACUGAGACACGGCCCGAACUCCUACGGGAGGCAGCAGUGGGGAAUAUUGGACAAUGGGGGAAACCCUGAUCCAGCCAUGCCGCGUGUGUGAAGAAGGCCCUCGGGUUGUAAAGCACUUUCAGCGAGGAAGAACGCCUAGCGGUUAAUACCCGCUAGGAAAGACAUCACUCGCAGAAGAAGCACCGGCUAACUCCGUGCCAGCAGCCGCGGUAAUACGGAGGG